RNAcentral lists this ribosomal RNA (1408 nucleotides) under uncultured organism. RNAcentral's name for it is "bacterial SSU rRNA". It matches the Rfam family "Bacterial small subunit ribosomal RNA". The record is from RNAcentral.
UAGCGGCAGGCCUAACACAUGCAAGUCGAGGGGUAACGAUGGCUUCGGCCAGGCGACGACCGGCGGACGGGUGAGUAUCGCGUUUGUAACCUGCCUCUAACCGGAGAAUAGCCCGAAGAAAUUCGGAUUAAUGCUCCAUAUUACUAUAAGAUGGCAUCAUUUUAUAGUGAAAGCCCCGGCGGUUAGAGAUGGGCAUGCGUGACAUUAGUUUGUUGGUGAGGUAACGGCUCACCAAGACCACGAUGUCUAGGGGGUCUGAGAGGAUGGUCCCCCACACUGGUACUGAGACACGGACCAGACUCCUACGGGAGGCAGCAGCGAGGAAUAUUGGUCAAUGGGCGAAAGCCUGAACCAGCCAUGCCGCGUGAAGGAUGACAGCGCUACGCGUUGUAAACUUCUUUUGUACGGGAAGAAACACUUCUACUUGUAGAAGCUUGACGGUACCGUACGAAUAAGCAUCGGCUAACUCCGUGCCAGCAGCCGCGGUAAUACGGAGGAUGCAAGCGUUAUCCGGAUUUAUUGGGUUUAAAGGGUACGUAGGCGGGAAAUUAAGUCAGUGGUGAAAUCCUGCAGCUCAACUGUAGAACUGUCAUUGAUACUGGUUUCCUUGAAUGUAGUUGAGGUAGGCGGAAUGUGUAAUGUAGCGGUGAAAUGCUUAGAUAUUACACAGAACACCGAUUGCGAAGGCAGCUUACUAAACUACGAUUGACGCUGAGGUACGAAAGCGUGGGGAGCGAACAGGAUUAGAUACCCUGGUAGUCCACGCUGUAAACGAUGAUCACUCGUUGUUGGCGAUAUACUGUCAGCGACUGAGCGAAAGCAUUAAGUGAUCCACCUGGGGAGUACGACCGCAAGGUUGAAACUCAAAGGAAUUGACGGAGGCCCACACAAGCGGUGGAGGAUGCGGCUUAAUUCGAGGACACGCGUAAAACCUUACCGAGGUUUGACAUGUAGGGAUUAAUCCGGUGAAAGCCGGAGGAUUGCCUUACGGUGUAACCUACACAGGUGCUGCAUGGCUGUCGACAGUUCGUGUCGUGAGAUGUUAGGUUAAGUCCUGAAACGAGCGAAACCCCUGUGCUUAAUUGCCAGCGCGUUAUGGCGGGGACAUUAGGCAGACUGCCUCGGCUAACGGGGAGGAAGGUGGGGACGACGUCAAGUCAGCAUGGCCCUUAUACCUCGGGCUGCACGCGUCCUACAAUGGGCAGUACAAACAGGACCGAUCCCGCGAGGGGGAGGAAAUCUCUAAAGCUGCUCUCAGUUCGGAUUGCAGGCUGAAACCCGCCUGCAUGAAGGUGGAAUCGCUAGUAAUCGCCGGUCAGCUAUACGGCGGUGAAUCCGUCCCUGGGCCUUGUACACACCGCCCGUCAAGCCACCCGAGUUGGGCGCACUCGAAGUCCGAGACUCAACC